This 832-nucleotide ribosomal RNA is filed under the name Trichophaea woolhopeia. Its description in RNAcentral is "partial large subunit ribosomal RNA". It matches the Rfam family "Eukaryotic large subunit ribosomal RNA", at positions 82 to 921 of the family's 3401-position model. Lineage: Eukaryota; Fungi; Ascomycota; Pezizomycetes; Pezizales; Pyronemataceae. The record is from RNAcentral.
AGUAACUGCGAGUGAAGCGGCAAAAGCUCAAAUUUGAAAUCUGGCAUCUUUUGGUGUCUGAGUUGUAAUUUAGAGGGGCAUUUUCAGGUUUAACACUAUUCUAAGUUCUUUGGAACAGGACAUCAUAGAGGGUGAGAAUCCCGUGCCUGGGUAGUUGUUUAAUCCUAUGUGAAGUGUCUCCGACGAGUCGAGUUGUUUGGGAAUGCAGCUCAAAAUGGGUGGUAAAUUUCAUCUAAAGCUAAAUAUUGGCGAGAGACCGAUAGCGCACAAGUAGAGUGAUCGAAAGAUGAAAAGCACUUUGAAAAGAGAGUUAAAAAGUACGUGAAAUUGUUGAAAGGGAAGCACUUGCGACCAGAAUCAAUCUUUGGGGGUCAUCUGGGUUUCGGCUUAGUGCCAUCCCUAUUGAUUGGGCUAGCAUCGGUUUUGGUGGUAGGAUAAAAGGUUGAGGGAAUGUGGCUCUCCUUGGAGAGUGUUAUAGCCCUUAUCAUAAUACUGCCUACCGGGACCGAGGAUCGCGCUUAAUAAGCUAGGAUGCUGGCAUAAUGGUCUUAAGUGACCCGUCUUGAAACACGGACCAAGGAGUCUAACAUCUAUGCGAGUGUUUGGGUGGAAAACCCUUGCGCGUAAUGAAAGUAAAUGGAGGUGGGAACCUUUUAACAGAGGUGCACCAUCGACCAGUCCUAAUGUUUUACGGAAGGAUCUGAGUAAGAGCAUAGCUGUUGGGACCCGAAAGAUGGUGAACUAUGCCUGAAUAGGGUGAAGCCAGAGGAAACUCUGGUGGAGGCUCGCAGCGGUUCUGACGUGCAAAUCGAUCGUCAAAUUUGGGUAUAGG